AUUGAACGCUGCGGAAUGCUUACACAUGCAAGUCGAACGGCAGCACGGACUUCGGUCUGGUGGCGAGUGGCGAACGGGUGAGUAAUGUAUCGGAACGUGCCCAGUCGUGGGGGAUAACGUAGUGAAAAUUACGCUAAUACCGCAUACGAUCUAUGGAUGAAAGCGGGGGAUCGCAGACCUCGCGCGAUUGGAGCGGCCGAUAUCAGAUUAGGUAGUUGGUGGGGGAAAGGCCCACCAAGCCAACGAUCUGUAGCUGGUCUGAGAGGACGACCAGCCACACUGGAACUGAGACACGGUCCAGACUCCUACGGGAGGCAGCAGUGGGGAAUUUUGGACAAUGGGCGAAAGCCUGAUCCAGCCAUUCCGCGUGCAGGAUGAAGGCCCUCGGGUUGUAAACUGCUUUUGUACAGAACGAAAAGGUUUCUACUAAUACUAGGAGCUCAUGACGGUACUGUAAGAAUAAGCACCGGCUAACUACGUGCCAGCCGCCGCAGUAA
RNAcentral lists this ribosomal RNA (497 nucleotides) under uncultured bacterium. RNAcentral describes it as "partial 16S ribosomal RNA". It matches the Rfam family "Bacterial small subunit ribosomal RNA", at positions 30 to 523 of the family's 1533-position model. The record is from RNAcentral.